RNAcentral lists this unclassified non-coding RNA (263 nucleotides) under Bombus terrestris (buff-tailed bumblebee). RNAcentral describes it as "misc RNA ENSBTSG00005027773.1". The record is from RNAcentral. Lineage: Eukaryota; Metazoa; Arthropoda; Insecta; Hymenoptera; Apidae.
CUAAUUCAUAAAUAAAAUUAUAAUUAACUGCGAAUAGAUGGCCAAGCAUGCGCCUUUUGUGGAAACAUCUAACGCUAAUAAAAUUGCUGGUACAAUAGUUGGACAAAUUUUCGAACGAAGAAGAAACGCUAUCGAAUUGAAAAUGACUCGAGAUUAAGGUGUGCUGGGAACGAAUCAUUGAGACGUAUAGGAUCGAAUGACGAAAUUAAAAAUACAAAUAUAAUGCAAUAUAAUAAUAUGAUAUUCGUGCAAAUGGAACGAUG